AGAGUUUGAUCAGUGGCUCAGAACGAACGCUGGCGGCAGGCUUAACACAUGCAAGUCGAGCGCCUCGCAAGAGGAGCGGCAGACGGGUGAGUAACGCGUGGGAAUCUACCCAUCUCUACGGAACAACUCCGGGAAACUGGAGCUAAUACCGUAUACGUCCUUCGGGAGAAAGAUUUAUCGGAGAUGGAUGAGCCCGCGUUGGAUUAGCUAGUUGGUGGGGUAAUGGCCUACCAAGGCGACGAUCCAUAGCUGGUCUGAGAGGAUGAUCAGCCACACUGGGACUGAGACACGGCCCAGACUCCUACGGGAGGCAGCAGUGGGAAUAUUGGACAAUGGGCGAAAGCCUGAUCCAGCCAUGCCGCGUGAGUGAUGAAGGCCCUAGGGUUGUAAAGCUCUUUCAACGGUGAAGAUAAUGACGGUAACCGUAGAAGAAGCCCCGGCUAACUUCGUG
This 451-nucleotide ribosomal RNA is filed under the name uncultured bacterium. RNAcentral's name for it is "bacterial SSU rRNA". It matches the Rfam family "Bacterial small subunit ribosomal RNA", at positions 8 to 507 of the family's 1533-position model. The record is from RNAcentral.